This is a long non-coding RNA of Leopardus geoffroyi (Geoffroy's cat), 712 nucleotides long. RefSeq lists it as uncharacterized. The transcript is spliced from 3 exons. The record is from RefSeq and is a predicted model, not a curated record. NCBI's taxonomy places the organism in Eukaryota, Metazoa, Chordata, Mammalia, Carnivora, Felidae.
ACUGGUUCCCUGACGGGUGACCUGGGACUUUCGUCACCAGGGUCCGGUCGGGGCAUGACAUCACCAGACCAGGCUCUCAUUGGCCGCCGCGGCCAGCAGGUGGGAGCGGCCUGGACCCGGAGCCCCCAGCCUGAUCCGUAGGGCCUGAGCCGCCAGGACCCCCACGACCCACCCUCCAGAGGGUCACCCAUGGGAACAGUGCGGCCGCGGCGGCGUCCCCACGCCCGAGCGACUCUGGGUCGUGACGCGCUCGCCCGUGAGAUGUGAGAGGCACACACCUUCAAGGAGCUCCCAGUGAGCCUGGCAUAGAGAAGCCCCCAAUUGUGGCGAAUGGCACUUUGACCUCUGCCUUCAAAUAUUUGCCCCUGGACUCAAGUCCUUUCCUACACCCAUCUCUACCUCCUCCGAGCUUUCUGGACCCCCUUCACUCUCCAGGUCACCGGAACAGAGGCACCAUCUAACUGUGUCACCUUGUGCUGGAGCUGACGUCACCUCCUGGUCUGAAUUCACAUGGGAAAGCCAUUUCUUGACUGAAUGGGACUUCCAUGGAAGAAUCCACUUUCCUGGGAAGCAGCCUGCAUUGAAAUUAUUAUUGUUACUGGCUUUUUUACUGAUAGUAAGCAUUCAUUUUUAAAAACUGUGGUAGGGGCGCCUGGGUGGCGCAGUCGGUUGAGCGUCCGACUUCAGCUCAGGUCACGAUCUCACGGACCGU